UACGUAGGGUGCAAGCGUUAAUCGGAAUUACUGGGCGUAAAGCGUGCGCAGGCGGUCUCGUAAGACAGGUGUGAAAUCCCCGGGCUUAACCUGGGAACUGCGCUUGUGACUGCGAGGCUGGAGUGCGGAAGAGGGAGGUGGAAUUCCACGUGUAGCAGUGAAAUGCGUAGAGAUGUGGAGGAACACCGAUGGCGAAGGCAGCCUCCUGGUCUAGCACUGACGCUCAUGCACGAAAGCGUGGGGAGCAAACAGG
Molecule: ribosomal RNA, 253 nt
Filed under: uncultured bacterium
Lineage: Bacteria
Description: partial 16S ribosomal RNA
Rfam family: Bacterial small subunit ribosomal RNA
Source: RNAcentral